Ipomoea nil (Japanese morning glory) is the source of this 141-nucleotide long non-coding RNA. RefSeq lists it as uncharacterized. NCBI's taxonomy places the organism in Eukaryota, Viridiplantae, Streptophyta, Magnoliopsida, Solanales, Convolvulaceae. The transcript has 3 exons. The record is from RefSeq and is a predicted model, not a curated record.
CACCAGAACCAAACUAUUAAGACUCUAUGUAUUUGAGUUAGAUUAUGACUCUCUAUCCUAGUGUCCAUGUGAUCUCUCAUUGUAUAUAUACCUGUAAUCUGUAUCUUUGUAAUUAUCUCAUCAAUACUAUUCAUACAGUUC